AGCCUUGUAGAAGUCAAGACCACUUGCCUGCUUGCAACUGGGCUUCUGGUGGCUGCCCACGUUUUUGGCUUGUGACUGCAUCACUCCAAUCUCUGUGACCACAGGCCUUCUCUUGUGUCAUCACAUUGCCUUUUGCUUCCCUAUUAUAAGGACACACCUGACUAUAUCUGGAGUUCAUCCAGAUAAUCCAAGAUAAUCUCCCCAUCUCAUGAUUCUUAACCGUAUCUUCAGAAUCCUUUUUAACAUAUAAGAGAGCAUAUUUUGGAGUACCUGGCAUUCUAUGUCAUGAGAGAAUGAACCAGAAUGGGGCAUAUGCUUCUAUCCUGAAGAUGAGACUGCAGAACUGACUAUAUACACAGUCCUGUGUCA
Molecule: long non-coding RNA, 369 nt
Filed under: Macaca mulatta (Rhesus monkey)
Lineage: Eukaryota; Metazoa; Chordata; Mammalia; Primates; Cercopithecidae
Description: lncRNA (ENSMMUG00000060225.1)
Source: RNAcentral